CUAUACUGUAAUACUGAAAAAUAUCGCGUGGGAAUGAAUAUGUAUAUCUGGAGGAAAAACAAAGCCGAAGAUCGACCGGUCUUCAAUAAUGAACGCGUAAGCUGACAGCAAACGGAGAGUAACAAGACUGGAAACCAUUGUAUCUAUAUAUGAACACAAAUACUCCGGAAUCAAUAUAUAAGAAGGUCACCAUCAUUCGAAGCUUGUUCAUCAAUCACAAAAUGAAAAUUGUAAUACUUGUA
This 242-nucleotide long non-coding RNA is filed under the name Mytilus galloprovincialis (Mediterranean mussel). Lineage: Eukaryota; Metazoa; Mollusca; Bivalvia; Mytilida; Mytilidae. The record is from RNAcentral.